AUUCCAGCUCCAAUAGCGUAUAUUAAAGUUGUUGCAGUUAAAAAGCUCGUAGUCGGAUUUUGGCAUCACGCCGAACUGUCUGCCGAUUGGUAAGUACGGUUUGGCGGGUGCUUCCUUCCGGAGGCUCGUUCCCUUCUUCAUUGAAGGGUUCGUUGGUUCCGGGUCUUUUACUUUGAGAAAAUUAGAGUGUUCAAAGCAGGCCUAUGCUCUGAAUAGGUUAGCAUGGAAUAAUAGAAUAGGACUUUGGUUCUAUUCUGUUGGUUUCGAACACCGGAGUAAUGAUUAACAGGGACAGUCAGGGGCACUCGUAUUCCGCCGAGAGAGGUGAAAUUCUCAGACCAGCGGAAGACGAACCACUGCGAAAGCAUUUGCCAGGGAUGUUUUCAUUA
Molecule: ribosomal RNA, 389 nt
Filed under: Picozoa sp.
Lineage: Eukaryota; Picozoa
Description: partial small subunit ribosomal RNA
Rfam family: Eukaryotic small subunit ribosomal RNA
Source: RNAcentral